GAUGAACGCUGGCGGCGUGCCUAAUACAUGCAAGUCGAGCGAACAGACGAGGAUCUUCCUCUUCUUACGUUAUCCGCGGGCGGGUGAGUAACACGUGAAUAGCCUACCUAUAACACUGAGCUAACUUAGGGAAACCGGAGAUUAUACCGGAUUAUAUAUUGAACCGCAUGGUUCAAUCGUUAAUGGCAGUUUUGCUUUCACUUAUAGAUGGAUCCGCGCCGCAUUAGCUAGUUGUUAAGGUAAUGGUUUACUAAGGCAACGGUGCGUAGCAGACCUGCGAGUGUGAUCGGCCACACUGGCACUGAGACACGGUCCAGACUCAGACGGGAGGCAGAAGUAGGGGAGCGGCAGCGAUGAGCGAAAGCGGGACGGAGCAGCGGCGAGGGAGUGAUGAAGGUGUUCGGAUCGUAAAACUCUGCUACUAGGGAAGAACAGAUGUGUAAGUAGCUAGGAACGUCUUGACGGUAGUGAAACAGAAAGCCACGGCUAACUACGUG
RNAcentral lists this ribosomal RNA (497 nucleotides) under uncultured bacterium. RNAcentral's name for it is "partial 16S ribosomal RNA". It matches the Rfam family "Bacterial small subunit ribosomal RNA", at positions 28 to 507 of the family's 1533-position model. The record is from RNAcentral.